CUAACAUACCAGAAUACACGUAUACAGAACACUGGUAAGAUUCCUGAUUACUUACACAUGUAGAAACCACAACCUUAAUUUCAGCAAUUCAGUUUCAGGUACAUUCCCAGACAACCUACGUGAAAUCAAAAGCAGAGAUGGAAAGAUCAGAAGUAAACACUGGAAAGAGAAGCAGGCUACAGGGGAACAUGGAUGUUUGAAAAAAACUUCUUCUAUUAUGAGCUUAACUGCUCCUGCUGUGAAUUGCAGGGCAUACUUUCUUCCCCCCUUCUGUUCCUGAGGAGGGGGAGCGACAGAGCAGUUGCGGUGGAGUUCAGCUGCCCAGCAUAGUAAAACCUCCACAGGCUCCCAUCUCUUCAGAUCUCCUGUGUCAUUCUGGCUAUACUGCUUCUUCUGUGCCUCUGCCUCCCAGCCUUCCCAGAUUUUGGGAAGGAAGAAUGACUGAUCUUUCGUUCGUCCUGUCUGAGGGGUCCACGUUGAUCUGAUCACAGUUUUCCAAGCUUUUCUGAGGUGAAACAGCACGAGGGAGAAGGCAGCAGACUGUUGGGGCAGAGUACUGCACUGAAAUGGUUUGCCAUUAAAUAGACAGAAUAUCCCGCCUCCAGCUUGAGCCCCGCCAGUCAAACCAGCAUCACUCUCUAGCACGCCAUUUUUUUUGUCCUAGGUCACAUUUUGAAGGUGCUUCAACUUUUAUGACUCAGCAAAGUUUAACAAAUUGACCAUCCUUCAGAUUUUGCAAGGUUGGUGGGCUGAUAAGUGGGAGUCAGGAUUCCAGCUAUGGCUUCAAAAACAUUGCAAUGAAUAAUUGCCCCUCGAAGAAGAAUGGUUGGCAGGAGCAUCAAAAAUUAUUUAUUUCUGAGCUCAGACAAGAGGUAGAAAUUGCACCAGCUUAACAUUUGACAGACCAGAAAGUGACUUCCAAUUUUCUCAAAAGUCAGAAAAUGCUUCUGCCUGUGAAUAACAGGGAAAAGCAGAAAACAGCUGACUGCCACAAGGGAAUACCACGUGUCGACAAUCCCAUCUACCGCCUAAUCUACCAAGAAAACUAAACAGAAGUGAAGAAUAAAAAGUGAAUAAAAGUUAGUUGUUUUUAAGAGUAUGAAAUAUAUUUUAGAUACAGGAGUCUGAUUUUCAAGCUGGUACCAGUUUAGCUCCUGUUUAAACCCGCUGAACUCUUUACUUAACAUUAUUACUUCAAACAUUUAAGUACAUAAUGAAAAAUAGCAUUUCUGUCUGUAUCUAGGAAACAAGGAUGGCUCAAGGUUAUGCAUAACCACACAAAAGUUUUUUAAAAAUUGUUGUUCUCCCAACAAAGGGCUCCAGCUGUACUACAUGCAGGUACCUACUCACAGCUGGUGGGAACACUGCACAUGGCCCACCUACUGAACAGCUUUCUACUUGAGAUGCUGCUGAGUGAAACAAAGAUCCAGAGCCUUGCAUAAUAAAAUGAAAGCUGUUCCACUGCCUCUCUGCCCGGGACAGAAGGCUUCGCUGUCUGACAGAAAACAACUGAAAGAUUUCAAUGCCAAACUGAAAGCCGACCGUGAUGAACUAAACUCCUUGUGUCCUGUCAAUUGUUCAGCCACCCAGCUUACCAAACAGUUUUACUCUGGAGUUGAUAUUGAUGAUACCUAGAGAGAAAACCGAGGAGAGCAGCCUGAUUUACUGUCCACAUGCAGCCAUCUCUUCCACAGUAGCUUCGGGAGUAACAGAAGCUUCCACUGUGAUAGAUGGGACUUCAGAUGUGAGAAAUAUAAGGGCAUGCUCUUUGCCACAGUAGUGUUACUCAUUCCUGAGUAUGUAGGUGAAAAAUAAGCAACCUCAUUCUUAAGAAAUGGGUGUGUUUAUUUCCUCAUUUACAUUAAAAAAAUGGGUUCUUAUUGGCUCUCUUCUUAGGGAGCGUACCUGGAAAUGCAACUGAUGGCCUGUUCCAUGUGGAAACCCAGAGAUGGAUUUUAGAGUAUUUGUGUAAUACAACUUUAGUAAAUGAUUUUCAUGUAGUUAUUUCUUUGCAUUAUUAUUGAGUCAGCAUCAUAUAUUGCAACAUCAGCCUGGAUGGGUGGCUGCAUUGGCUUUGCUAUCGCAGUUUAUGUUUGUUUUGCAAACAAACAGUUCUAUGCAGAUCAUUUUUACCAGCCUGUGUGCUAUGAAGUUUAUCCCAUGCUCAUUUCAUGAACAAUUCCUUACGCUGUUCUUACACAACACUAUAAUAUCUCUUCUCAGCAAGAGUAAAGGCCAGAAUAACAGUUAAAUCUGAGUGAGUUAGAUUUCUGCUGGAAUAAAAAAUGUC
This is a long non-coding RNA of Oxyura jamaicensis (ruddy duck), 2290 nucleotides long. RefSeq lists it as uncharacterized. The transcript has 5 exons. Lineage: Eukaryota; Metazoa; Chordata; Aves; Anseriformes; Anatidae. The record is from RefSeq and is a predicted model, not a curated record.